RNAcentral lists this ribosomal RNA (491 nucleotides) under uncultured bacterium. RNAcentral's name for it is "bacterial SSU rRNA". It matches the Rfam family "Bacterial small subunit ribosomal RNA", at positions 28 to 507 of the family's 1533-position model. The record is from RNAcentral.
GAUGAACGCUAGCGACAGGCCUAACACAUGCAAGUCGAGGGGCAGCGGAGAGGUAGCAAUACCUUUGCCGGCGACCGGCGCACGGGUGAGUAACACGUAUGCAAUCCACCUGUAACAGGGGGAUAACCCGGAGAAAUCCGGACUAAUACCCCAUAAUAUGGGCGCUCCGCAUGGAGGGUCCAUUAAAGAGAGCAAUUUUGGUUACAGACGAGCAUGCGCUCCAUUAGCCAGUUGGCGGGGUAACGGCCCACCAAAGCGACGAUGGAUAGGGGUUCUGAGAGGAAGGUCCCCCACAUUGGUACUGAGACACGGACCAAACUCCUACGGGAGGCAGCAGUGAGGAAUAUUGGUCAAUGGCCGAGAGGCUGAACCAGCCAAGUCGCGUGAAGGAAGAAGGAUCUAUGGUUUGUAAACUUCUUUUAUAGGGGAAUAAAGUGGAGGACGUGUCCUUUUUGUAUGUACCCUAUGAAUAAGCAUCGGCUAACUCCGUG